UGGUUCUGGCAUCGAUGAAGAACGCAGCGAAAUGCGAUAAGUAAUGUGAAUUGCAGAAUUCAGUGAAUCAUCGAAUCUUUGAACGCACAUUGCGCCCGCCAGCAUUCUGGCGGGCAUGCCUGUUCGAGCGUCAUUUCAAACCCUCCCACCCGCCCCGGCGGGCGGGGCGUCGGGGAUCCCCGUCCUAGCAGGCUGGGUCCCUUAGGACAAGUGUAGCGGACCCGCCCGGGACCCGAGCGCAGUAGCACAACUCCUCGCUCCGGAGCCCCGGUUUGGGACACGGCCGGAAAUCUCACCCCAAGUUUGACCUCGGAUCAGGUAGGAAUACCCGCUGA
This 335-nucleotide unclassified non-coding RNA is filed under the name uncultured fungus. RNAcentral describes it as "partial contains 5.8S ribosomal RNA and internal transcribed spacer 2". The stretch from base 1 to 133 matches the Rfam family "5.8S ribosomal RNA", at positions 22 to 154 of the family's 154-position model. Lineage: Eukaryota; Fungi. The record is from RNAcentral.